Molecule: ribosomal RNA, 2619 nt
Filed under: Klebsiella pneumoniae
Lineage: Bacteria; Pseudomonadati; Pseudomonadota; Gammaproteobacteria; Enterobacterales; Enterobacteriaceae
Description: bacterial LSU rRNA
Rfam family: Bacterial large subunit ribosomal RNA
Source: RNAcentral
UAGGUUAACGAGGCGAACCGGGGGAACUGAAACAUCUAAGUACCCCGAGGAAAAGAAAUCAACCGAGAUUCCCCCAGUAGCGGCGAGCGAACGGGGAGCAGCCCAGAGUCUGAAUCAGCUUGUGUGUUAGUGGAACGGUCUGGAAAGUCCGACGGUACAGGGUGAUAGUCCCGUACACCAAAAUGCACAGGUUGUGAACUCGAAGAGUAGGGCGGGACACGUGGUAUCCUGUCUGAAUAUGGGGGGACCAUCCUCCAAGGCUAAAUACUCCUGACUGACCGAUAGUGAACCAGUACCGUGAGGGAAAGGCGAAAAGAACCCCGGCGAGGGGAGUGAAAAAGAACCUGAAACCGUGUACGUACAAGCAGUGGGAGCACCUUCGGGUGUGACUGCGUACCUUUUGUAUAAUGGGUCAGCGACUUAUAUUCUGUAGCAAGGUUAACCGUAUAGGGGAGCCGCAGGGAAACCGAGUCUUAACUGGGCGUUAAGUUGCAGGGUAUAGACCCGAAACCCGGUGAUCUAGCCAUGGGCAGGUUGAAGGUUGGGUAACACUAACUGGAGGACCGAACCGACUAAUGUUGAAAAAUUAGCGGAUGACUUGUGGCUGGGGGUGAAAGGCCAAUCAAACCGGGAGAUAGCUGGUUCUCCCCGAAAGCUAUUUAGGUAGCGCCUCGUGAACUCAUCUUCGGGGGUAGAGCACUGUUUCGGCUAGGGGGUCAUCCCGACUUACCAACCCGAUGCAAACUACGAAUACCGAAGAAUGUUAUCACGGGAGACACACGGCGGGUGCUAACGUCCGUCGUGAAGAGGGAAACAACCCAGACCGCCAGCUAAGGUCCCAAAGUCAUGGUUAAGUGGGAAACGAUGUGGGAAGGCACAGACAGCCAGGAUGUUGGCUUAGAAGCAGCCAUCAUUUAAAGAAAGCGUAAUAGCUCACUGGUCGAGUCGGCCUGCGCGGAAGAUGUAACGGGGCUAAACCAUGCACCGAAGCUGCGGCAGCGACACUAUGUGUUGUUGGGUAGGGGAGCGUUCUGUAAGCCUGCGAAGGUGUGCUGUGAGGCAUGCUGGAGGUAUCAGAAGUGCGAAUGCUGACAUAAGUAACGAUAAAGCGGGUGAAAAGCCCGCUCGCCGGAAGACCAAGGGUUCCUGUCCAACGUUAAUCGGGGCAGGGUGAGUCGACCCCUAAGGCGAGGCCGAAAGGCGUAGUCGAUGGGAAACAGGUUAAUAUUCCUGUACUUGGUGUUACUGCGAAGGGGGGACGGAGAAGGCUAUGUUAGCCGGGCGACGGUUGUCCCGGUUUAAGCAUGUAGGCUGGUUAUCCAGGCAAAUCCGGAUAAUCAAGGCUGAGGUGUGAUGACGAGGCACUACGGUGCUGAAGUAACAAAUGCCCUGCUUCCAGGAAAAGCCUCUAAGCAUCAGGUAACAUCAAAUCGUACCCCAAACCGACACAGGUGGUCAGGUAGAGAAUACCAAGGCGCUUGAGAGAACUCGGGUGAAGGAACUAGGCAAAAUGGUGCCGUAACUUCGGGAGAAGGCACGCUGGUGUGUAGGUGAAGUCCCUGCGGAUGGAGCUGAGACCAGUCGAAGAUACCAGCUGGCUGCAACUGUUUAUUAAAAACACAGCACUGUGCAAACACGAAAGUGGACGUAUACGGUGUGACGCCUGCCCGGUGCCGGAAGGUUAAUUGAUGGGGUUAUCCGUAAGGAGAAGCUCUUGAUCGAAGCCCCGGUAAACGGCGGCCGUAACUAUAACGGUCCUAAGGUAGCGAAAUUCCUUGUCGGGUAAGUUCCGACCUGCACGAAUGGCGUAAUGAUGGCCAGGCUGUCUCCACCCGAGACUCAGUGAAAUUGAACUCGCUGUGAAGAUGCAGUGUACCCGCGGCAAGACGGAAAGACCCCGUGAACCUUUACUAUAGCUUGACACUGAACAUUGAGCCUUGAUGUGUAGGAUAGGUGGGAGGCUUUGAAGCGUGGACGCCAGUCUGCGUGGAGCCAACCUUGAAAUACCACCCUUUAAUGUUUGAUGUUCUAACGUUGGCCCCUGACCGGGGUUGCGGACAGUGUCUGGUGGGUAGUUUGACUGGGGCGGUCUCCUCCCAAAGCGUAACGGAGGAGCACGAAGGUUAGCUAAUCCUGGUCGGACAUCAGGAGGUUAGUGCAAUGGCAUAAGCUAGCUUGACUGCGAGCGUGACGGCGCGAGCAGGUGCGAAAGCAGGUCAUAGUGAUCCGGUGGUUCUGAAUGGAAGGGCCAUCGCUCAACGGAUAAAAGGUACUCCGGGGAUAACAGGCUGAUACCGCCCAAGAGUUCAUAUCGACGGCGGUGUUUGGCACCUCGAUGUCGGCUCAUCACAUCCUGGGGCUGAAGUAGGUCCCAAGGGUAUGGCUGUUCGCCAUUUAAAGUGGUACGCGAGCUGGGUUUAGAACGUCGUGAGACAGUUCGGUCCCUAUCUGCCGUGGGCGCUGGAGAAUUGAGGGGGGCUGCUCCUAGUACGAGAGGACCGGAGUGGACGCAUCACUGGUGUUCGGGUUGUCAUGCCAAUGGCACUGCCCGGUAGCUAAAUGCGGAAGAGAUAAGUGCUGAAAGCAUCUAAGCACGAAACUUGCCCCGAGAUGAGUUCU